Molecule: ribosomal RNA, 493 nt
Filed under: uncultured Archaeospora
Lineage: Eukaryota; Fungi; Glomeromycota; Glomeromycetes; Archaeosporales; Archaeosporaceae
Description: SSU rRNA
Rfam family: Eukaryotic small subunit ribosomal RNA
Source: RNAcentral
CUAAUAGCGUAUAUUAAAGUUGUUGCAGUUAAAACGCUCGUAGUUGAAUUUUGGAUUCUGCCAGUUGGUCCAUCUUUUGAUGAGUACUCAUUGUGUGGGGUCUAUCCGCCUGGUAAUACGUAAUGUACUUUAUUGUAUGUUACGGGUAGCCAGGACCUUUACCUUGAAAAAAUUAGAGUGUUUAAAGCAGGCAUUCGCUUGAAUACAUUAGCAUGGAAUAAUAGAAUAGGACUUUGGUUCUAUUUUGUUGGUUUCUAGGACCGAAGUAAUGAUUAAUAGGGAUGGUUGGGGGCAUUAGUAUUUAAGUGUCAGAGGUGAAAUUCUUGGAUUUAUGAAAGACUAACUUCUGCGAAAGCAUUUGCCAAGGAUGUUUUCAUUAAUCAAGAACGAAAGUUAGGGGAUCGAAGACGAUCAGAUACCGUCGUAGUCUUAACCAUAAACUAUACCGACUAGGGAUCAGACAAGGAUAUUUUGACUUGUUUGGCACCUUAUG